GCUGUGGCUCAAUAGUAAAGCAUCUGCCUAGCAUGCAAAAGGUCCCGGGUUCGAAUCCCGGCGUCUCCA
This 69-nucleotide transfer RNA is filed under the name Sphaerodactylus townsendi. RNAcentral's name for it is "tRNA-Ala". It matches the Rfam family "tRNA". From Rfam's summary of the family: Transfer RNA (tRNA) molecules are approximately 80 nucleotides in length. Lineage: Eukaryota; Metazoa; Chordata; Lepidosauria; Squamata; Sphaerodactylidae. The record is from RNAcentral.